RNAcentral lists this transfer RNA (73 nucleotides) under Vairimorpha apis BRL 01. Its description in RNAcentral is "tRNA-Arg (CCT) (tRNA-Arg-CCT-2-1)". It matches the Rfam family "tRNA". From Rfam's summary of the family: Transfer RNA (tRNA) molecules are approximately 80 nucleotides in length. Their secondary structure includes four short double-helical elements and three loops (D, anti-codon, and T loops). Further hydrogen bonds mediate the characteristic L-shaped molecular structure. tRNAs have two regions of fundamental functional importance: the anti-codon, which is responsible for specific mRNA codon recognition, and the 3' end, to which the tRNAs corresponding amino acid is attached (by aminoacyl-tRNA synthetases). tRNAs cope with the degeneracy of the genetic code in two manners: having more than one tRNA (with a specific anti-codon) for a particular amino acid; and 'wobble' base-pairing, i.e. permitting non-standard base-pairing at the 3rd anti-codon position. The record is from Rfam by way of RNAcentral. Lineage: Eukaryota; Fungi; Microsporidia; Nosematidae.
GUUCGUGUGGCCCAAUGGUAAGGCGUGGCUCUCCUAAAAGCCAAGAUUGUGGGUUCGAAUCCCAUCACGAACG